This 955-nucleotide ribosomal RNA is filed under the name Mendogia chiangraiensis. RNAcentral describes it as "SSU rRNA". It matches the Rfam family "Eukaryotic small subunit ribosomal RNA", at positions 151 to 1115 of the family's 1831-position model. The record is from RNAcentral. Lineage: Eukaryota; Fungi; Ascomycota; Dothideomycetes; Myriangiales; Myriangiaceae.
GGUAUUUCAGAACCUAAAACUGGCUAAAAACCCCGACUCCGGGAGGGGGGUUUUAAUAAAACAAAAAACCAAGGCCCUUCGGGCCUCCUGGGGGAUCCAUGAUACCUUAACAAACCGCAGGGCCUUGCCCCGGCAAGGGUUCUUUCAAUUUUCGGCCCAAUCACUUUUCGAUGGUAGGAUAGUGGCCUACCAUGGUAUCAACGGGUAACGGGGAAUUAGGGUUCUAUUCCGGAGAGGGAGCCUGAGAAACGGCUACCACAUCCAAGGAAGGCAGCAGGCGCGCAAAUUACCCAAUCCCGACACGGGGAGGUAGUGACAAUAAAUACUGAUACAGGGCUCUUUUGGGUCUUGUAAUUGGAAUGAGUACAAUUUAAAUACCUUAACGAGGAACAAUUGGAGGGCAAGUCUGGUGCCAGCAGCCGCGGUAAUUCCAGCUCCAAUAGCGUAUAUUAAAGUUGUUGCAGUUAAAAAGCUCGUAGUUGAACCUUGGGCCUGGCUGGCCGGUCUGCCUCACCGCAUGUACUGGUUCGGCCGGGCCUUUCCUCCUGGGGAUCCGCAUGCCCUUCACUGGGUGUGUUGGGGAACCAGGACUUUUACUUUGAAAAAAUUAGAGUGUUCAAAGCAGGCCUUUGCUCGAAUACAUUAGCAUGGAAUAAUAGAAUAGGACGUGCGGUUCUAUUUUGUUGGUUUCUAGGACCGCCGUAAUGAUUAAUAGGGAUAGUCGGGGGCAUCAGUAUUCAGUUGUCAGAGGUGAAAUUCUUGGAUUUAUUGAAGACUAACUACUGCGAAAGCAUUUGCCAAGGAUGUUUUCAUUAAUCAGUGAACGAAAGUUAGGGGAUCGAAGACGAUCAGAUACCGUCGUAGUUUUAACCGUAAACUAUGCCGACUAGGGAUCGGGCGAUGUUAUUCUUUUGACUCGCUCGGCACCUUACGAGAAAUCAAAGUCUUUGGCUCU